This 214-nucleotide ribosomal RNA is filed under the name uncultured bacterium. RNAcentral describes it as "partial 16S ribosomal RNA". It matches the Rfam family "Bacterial small subunit ribosomal RNA", at positions 326 to 539 of the family's 1533-position model. The record is from RNAcentral.
ACGCUCGACACCUAAGGCAGCAGUGAGGAAUAUUGGUCAAUGGACGCAAGUCUGAACCAGCCAUGCCGCGUGCAGGAUGACGGCUCUAUGAGCUGUAAACUGCUUUUGUACGAGGGUAAACGCAGAUACGUGUAUCUGUCUGAAAGUAUCGUACGAAUAAGGAUCGGCUAACUCCGUGUCAGCAGCCGCGGUAAUCUGAGCGGGCUGGCAAGGC